AUUGAACGCUGGCGGCAUGCUUUACACAUGCAAGUCGAACGGUAACAGGCCGCAAGGUGCUGACGAGUGGCGAACGGGUGAGUAAUGCAUCGGAACGUGCCCAGUCGUGGGGGAUAACGCAGCGAAAGCUGCGCUAAUGCCGCAUACGAUCUCUGGAUGAAAGCGGGGGACCGAAAGGCCUCGCGCGAUUGGAGCGGCCGAUGUCAGAUUAGGUAGUUGGUGGGGUAAAGGCCCACCAAGCCAACGAUCUGUAGCUGGUCUGAGAGGACGACCAGCCACACUGGGACUGAAGCACGGCACAGACUCCGACGGGAGGCAGCAGGGGGGAAUUUUGGACAAUGGGCGCAAGCCUGAUCCAGCAAUGCCGCGUGCAGGAAGAAGGCCUUCGGGUUGUAAACUGCUUUUGUACGGAACGAAACGGUCCGGGUUAAUACCCUGGGCUAAUGACGGUACCGUAAGAAUAAGCACCGGCUAACUACGUGCCAGCAGCCGCCGUAA
Molecule: ribosomal RNA, 498 nt
Filed under: uncultured bacterium
Lineage: Bacteria
Description: partial 16S ribosomal RNA
Rfam family: Bacterial small subunit ribosomal RNA
Source: RNAcentral